Molecule: ribosomal RNA, 370 nt
Filed under: uncultured organism
Description: bacterial SSU rRNA
Rfam family: Bacterial small subunit ribosomal RNA
Source: RNAcentral
CAGAGGGUGCGAGCGUUAAUCGGAAUUACUGGGCGUAAGCGCGCGUAGGCGGCUUUGCAAGUCGGGUGUGAAAUCCCCAGGCUUAACCUGGGAACUGCAUUCGAGACUGCAUUGCUAGAGUAUGGGAGAGGGAAGUGGAAUUUCCGGUGUAGCGGUGAAAUGCGUAGAUAUCGGAAGGAACAUCAGUGGCGAAAGCGACUUUCUGGACCAAUACUGACGCUCAUGUGCGAAAGCGUGGGGAGCAAACAGGAUUAGAUACCCUGGUAGUCCACGCCAUAAACGAUGACAACUGGAUGUCGGGAGGGUCUGCCUCCCGGUGUCGUAGCUAACGCGUUAAGUUGUCCGCCUGGGGAGUACGGCCGCAAGGUUG